CUGGCCUCAAAUCAGGUAGGACUACCCGCUGAACUUAAGCAUAUCAAUAAGCGGAGGAAAAGAAACUAACAAGGAUUCCCUUAGUAACGGCGAGUGAACCGGGAAAAGCUCAAAUUUGAAAUCUGGCUGUCUUCGAUAGUCCGAGUUGUAAUCUAUAGAAGCGUUUUCCGUGCUGAACUGUGUAUAAGUGUCUUGGAACAGACUAUCAAAGAGGGUGACAAUCCCGUACUUUACACAAUCAUCAGUGCUCUGUGAUACGUUCUCUACGAGUCGAGUUGUUUGGGAAUGCAGCUCAAAAUGGGUGGUAAAUUCCAUCUAAAGCUAAAUAUUGGCGAGAGACCGAUAGCGAACAAGUACCGUGAGGGAAAGAUGAAAAGCACUUUGGAAAGAGAGUUAAACAGUACGUGAAAUUGUUAAAAGGGAAACGAUUGAAGUCAGUCGUGUUUAUUGGAUUCAGCCGGUCUUCGGUGUACUUCCUUUAAACGGGUCAACAUCAGUUUUGUCCGGUGGAUAAAGGCAGUAGGAAUGUGGCUCCCUCGGGAGUGUUAUAGCCUAUUGUCACAUACACUGGAGGAGACUGAGGACUGCAGCUCGCCUUUUUGGCCGGGGUUCGCCCACGUUCGAGCUAGGAUGUG
Molecule: ribosomal RNA, 635 nt
Filed under: Trichosporon sp. HP-2030
Lineage: Eukaryota; Fungi; Basidiomycota; Tremellomycetes; Trichosporonales; Trichosporonaceae
Description: LSU rRNA
Rfam family: Eukaryotic large subunit ribosomal RNA
Source: RNAcentral